CCUACGGGAGGCAGCAGUGGGGAAUAUUGGACAAUGGGGGAAACCCUGAUCCAGCCAUGCCGCGUGUGUGAAGAAGGCCCUCGGGUUGUAAAGCACUUUCAGUGAGGAAGAACGCCUGGUGGUUAAUACCCAUCAGGAAAGACAUCACUCACAGAAGAAGCACCGGCUAACUCCGUGCCAGCAGCCGCGGUAAUACGGAGGGUGCGAGCGUUAAUCGGAAUUACUGGGCGUAAAGCGCGCGUAGGUGGCUUGAUAAGCCGGUUGUGAAAGCCCCGGGCUCAACCUGGGAACGGCAUCCGGAACUGUCAAGCUAGAGUGCAGGAGAGGAAGGUAGAAUUCCCGGUGUAGCGGUGAAAUGCGUAGAGAUCGGGAGGAAUACCAGUGGCGAAGGCGGCCUUCUGGACUGACACUGACACUGAGGUGCGAAAGCGUGGGUAGCAAACAGGAUUAGAUACCCCAGUAGUC
Molecule: ribosomal RNA, 465 nt
Filed under: Vreelandella stevensii
Lineage: Bacteria; Pseudomonadati; Pseudomonadota; Gammaproteobacteria; Oceanospirillales; Halomonadaceae
Description: partial 16S ribosomal RNA
Rfam family: Bacterial small subunit ribosomal RNA
Source: RNAcentral